AGAGCGAACGCUGGCGGCAGGCCUAACACAUGCAAGUCGAGCGCCCCGCAAGGGGAGCGGCAGACGGGAGAGUAACACGUGGGAACGUACCCUUCAGUUCGGAACAACCCAGGGAAACUUGGGCUAAUACCGGAUACGUCCGUAAGGAGAAAGAUUUAUCGCUGAAGGAUCGGCCCGCGUCUGAUUAGCUUGUUGGUGAGGUAACGGCUCACCAAGGCUACGAUCAGUAGCUGGUCUGAGAGGAUGAUCAGCCUCACUGGGACUGAGACACGGCCCAAACUCCUACGGGAGGCAGCAGUGGGGAAUAUUGGACAAUGGGCGCAAGCCUGAUCCAGCCAUGCCGCGUGAGUGAUGAAGGCCCUAGGGUUGUAAAGCUCUUUGUGCGGGAAGAUAAUGACGGUACGCAAGAAUAAGCCCGGCUAACUUCGUGCCAGCAGCCGC
Molecule: ribosomal RNA, 441 nt
Filed under: uncultured bacterium
Lineage: Bacteria
Description: SSU rRNA
Rfam family: Bacterial small subunit ribosomal RNA
Source: RNAcentral